This is a long non-coding RNA of Quercus robur (English oak), 181 nucleotides long. RefSeq lists it as uncharacterized. The transcript has 3 exons. The record is from RefSeq and is a predicted model, not a curated record. NCBI's taxonomy places the organism in Eukaryota, Viridiplantae, Streptophyta, Magnoliopsida, Fagales, Fagaceae.
CAGUGACUUGUCUUACAAUAAUUUACAAGGAAGCUUUCCUUCUUGGGUUAGCGAACAAAAUUUACAGCUUAAUCUAGUUGCCAACAAUUUCACAAUAGAAGGUUCAAACAGCAGUGUUUUGCCUUCAGGAUUGAGUUGUCUUCAACGGGGUUUUCCUUGCAAUCAUGGCAUUGGAAGAUAU